UACGAAGGGGGCUAGCGUUGCUCGGAAUCACUGGGCGUAAAGCGCACGUAGGCGGAUCUUUUAAGUCAGGGGGUGAAAUCCCAAGGCUCAACCUUGGAACUGCCUUUGAUACUGGGGAUCUCGAGUCCGGAAGAGGUUGGUGGAACUGCGAGUGUAGAGGUGAAAUUCGUAGAUAUUCGCAAGAACACCAGUGGCGAAGGCGGCCAACUGGUCCGGUACUGACGCUGAGGUGCGAAAGCGUGGGGAGCAAACAGG
This 255-nucleotide ribosomal RNA is filed under the name uncultured bacterium. RNAcentral's name for it is "partial 16S ribosomal RNA". It matches the Rfam family "Bacterial small subunit ribosomal RNA", at positions 524 to 776 of the family's 1533-position model. The record is from RNAcentral.